GUCGUAACAAGGUUUCCGUAGGUGAACCUGCGGAAGGAUCAUUACCUAGAGUUUGUAGACUUCGGUCUGCUACCUCUUACCCAUGUCUUUUGAGUACCUUCGUUUCCUCGGCGGGUCCGCCCGCCGAUUGGACAACAUUCAAACCCUUUGCAGUUGCAAUCAGCGUCUGAAAAAACAUAAUAGUUACAACAUUCAACAACGGAUCUCUUGGUUCUGGCAUCGAUGAAGAACGCAGCGAAAUGCGAUAAGUAGUGUGAAUUGCAGAAUUCAGUGAAUCAUCGAAUCUUUGAACGCACAUUGCGCCCCUUGGUAUUCCAUGGGGCAUGCCUGUUCGAGCGUCAUUUGUACCUUCAAGCUCUGCUUGGUGUUGGGUGUUUGUCUCGCCUCUGCGUGUAGACUCGCCUUAAAACAAUUGGCAGCCGGCGUAUUGAUUUCGGAGCGCAGUACAUCUCGCGCUUUGCACUCAUAACGACGACGUCCAAAAGUACAUUUUUACACUCUUGACCUCGGAUCAGGUAGGGAUACCCGCUGAACUUAAGCAUAUCA
This 546-nucleotide ribosomal RNA is filed under the name uncultured fungus. Its description in RNAcentral is "eukaryotic LSU rRNA". The stretch from base 188 to 341 matches the Rfam family "5.8S ribosomal RNA". Lineage: Eukaryota; Fungi. The record is from RNAcentral.